Molecule: transfer RNA, 70 nt
Filed under: Manota sp. WQY001
Lineage: Eukaryota; Metazoa; Arthropoda; Insecta; Diptera; Mycetophilidae
Description: tRNA-Cys
Source: RNAcentral
AGUUUUAUAGUCAAUAAUAUAAAUGAUAUUAAAUUGCAAAUUUAAAGGAGUAAGAAAAAUACUAAGACUU